Ipomoea triloba (trilobed morning glory) is the source of this 528-nucleotide long non-coding RNA. RefSeq lists it as uncharacterized. The record is from RefSeq and is a predicted model, not a curated record. The transcript has 2 exons. NCBI's taxonomy places the organism in Eukaryota, Viridiplantae, Streptophyta, Magnoliopsida, Solanales, Convolvulaceae.
UUGAUAUUCGAAGGAAUUCGGUGCUUUCUCAACGAUUUCUGGGACUCCAUCAUUUUCAGUGAUUUCGUUUCAGGCUGCGCAGAAAAGGAAGAAAUUCAAAAGCUAGGGUUGUAUAGUUGACCGUGUUUGUUCAACGACGACGAAGAAGAUGACAACCGGACUCUUCAAGUUCAUCCGCCCUGCCCUCCGUCCGCAAUCCACCGAUUUCCAGGCCGCCGCCGCCUGGGGCGUCGCUGCCGGCGCCACCGCCAUCUGGAUUGUCCAGCCAUUUGACUGGAUAAGGAAGACGUUUUUUGAGAAAGAGCAAGAAGCAAAGUGAUAGCAUUUUCAACAAUUUGGGAGCUUUUUGGUGUUGUUGCUGCUGCAAAGUAGCAAACUCUGAGCAGGAAUGAGUUGAAUAAUACUCCGUACAUUUUCAUUCUGUUGUUCUUGUUAGUACAAUGAUAAGGUUUUGUUGUUACCUCAGUUAACUUUUGGGAUAUUGAUUCUUCAAAUAAUUGGAUUUCAUUCUUCUUUUUUACCUCUUUA